ACGGGGUGCAGCAGGCGCGAAACCUCCUCAAUGCACACACGUGCGAAGGGGUUACCUCGAGUGCCGCCUGAUGAAGGCGGCUUUUCCGUGGUGUAAAAAGCCUAGGGAAUAAGAGGGGGGCAAGACUGGUGUCAGCCGCCGCGGUAACACCAGCCCCUCGAGUGGUGGGGAUGAUUAUUUGGCCUAAAGCGUCCGUAGCCGGCCGGAUAAGUCUCCCGUUAAAUCCAGCGUCUCAAGCGUUGGACUGCGGGAGAUACUGUCUGGCUAGAGAGUGGGAGAGGUAUACGGUAUUCUGGGGGUAGGGGCGAAAUCCAUUGAUCCCCGGAGGACCACCAGUGGCGAAGGCUGUAUACUAGAACACGUCUGACGGUCAGGGACGAAAGCUGGGGUAGCGAACCGGAUUAGAUACCCGGGUAGUCCCAGCCGUAAACGAUGCACGCUAGGUGUUGGGUUGGCCACGAGCCGCCCCAGUGCCACAGGGAAGCCAUUAAGCGUGCCGCCUGGGGAGUACGGCCGCAAGGCUGAAACUUAAAGGAAUUGGCGGGGGAGCACCACCAGGCGUGAAGCCUGCGGUUUAAUCGGAGUCAACGCCGGGAACCUUACCGGGAGCGACAGCAGGGUGAAGGCCAAGCUGAAGACUUUGCCAGACAAGCUGAGAGGAGGUGCAUGGCCGUCGCCAGUUCGUGCCGUGAGGUGUUCUCUUAAGUGAGAUAACGAACGAGACCCGUGCCGCAUGUUGCCAUCAGGACCUAUAGGGUUGCUGA
Molecule: ribosomal RNA, 764 nt
Filed under: uncultured archaeon
Lineage: Archaea
Description: bacterial SSU rRNA
Rfam family: Archaeal small subunit ribosomal RNA
Source: RNAcentral